UUAACUAUUAUAUGGUACUCAGACAACACUAAUAUUCAGAGUUUAGGGGUCCUUUGGCGGGCACUUACCAGCCAGAGCCGGUAGCCGAAGCGGCCCGCCAAAGCAACAAAGGUAUAGUAUUCAAGGGUGGGAGAUCUACCCGUGAGGGCAUGAACUCUGUAAUGAUCCUUCCGCAGGUUCACCUACGGAAA
RNAcentral lists this unclassified non-coding RNA (191 nucleotides) under uncultured fungus. RNAcentral's name for it is "sequence contains ITS1". The record is from RNAcentral. Lineage: Eukaryota; Fungi.